This 446-nucleotide ribosomal RNA is filed under the name uncultured bacterium. RNAcentral's name for it is "bacterial SSU rRNA". It matches the Rfam family "Bacterial small subunit ribosomal RNA", at positions 329 to 792 of the family's 1533-position model. The record is from RNAcentral.
UGCCAGACUCCUACGGGAGGCAGCAGUGGGGAAUAUUGCACAAUGGGGGAAACCCUGAUGCAGCGACGCCGCGUGAGUGAAGAAGUAUUUCGGUAUGUAAAGCUCUAUCAGCAGGGAAGAUAAUGACGGUACCUGACUAAGAAGCCCCGGCUAACUACGUGCCAGCAGCCGCGGUAAUACGUAGGGGGCAAGCGUUAUCCGGAUUUACUGGGUGUAAAGGGUGCGUAGGUGGCAGGGCAAGUCAGAUGUGAACGCCCGGGGCUCAACCCCGGUACUGCAUUUGAAACUGUCCAGCUGGAGUGCAGGAGAGGUAAGCGGAAUUCCUAGUGUAGCGGUGAAAUGCGUAGAUAUUAGGAGGAACACCAGUGGCGAAGGCGGCUUACUGGACUGUAACUGACACUGAGGCACGGAAGCGUGGGGAGCAAACAGGAUUAGAUACCCUAGUA